AAGAGAUUAGUUAAACAAUAACAUUAAUUUGUCAAAUUAAAAUUAUUUUAAAAUAUAUCACUUA
This 64-nucleotide transfer RNA is filed under the name Cavariella salicicola. RNAcentral's name for it is "tRNA-Asp". The record is from RNAcentral. Lineage: Eukaryota; Metazoa; Arthropoda; Insecta; Hemiptera; Aphididae.